This 233-nucleotide ribosomal RNA is filed under the name uncultured bacterium. Its description in RNAcentral is "partial 16S ribosomal RNA". It matches the Rfam family "Bacterial small subunit ribosomal RNA", at positions 111 to 334 of the family's 1533-position model. The record is from RNAcentral.
UAACACGUGGGUAACCUGCCUCAAAGAGGGGAAUAGCCUCCCGAAAGGGAGAUUAAUACCGCAUAAUAUGUUUUGGUCACAUGGCCUUAACAUCAAAGGAUUUCUUCGGAAAUUCACUUUGAGAUGGACCCGCGGCGCAUUAGCUAGUUGGUGAGGUAACGGCUCACCAAGGCGACGAUGCGUAGCCGACCUGAGAGGGUGAUCGGCCACAUUGGAACUGAGACACGGUCCAG